GAUUUCCGUGUCAUUUCCGUCCCGUGGCACAGUGAACAGCUGUUUGGCGGCCAGUAAUUGUGUGUUUUUGUUUUGCGGCUUGUGAUGCAGCAGGAGGAAAAAAUAUUCUCCAAUAUCCCUGGUGCUUAUCGAAAAGGUUUCGCGAUAUCCACGCAAAGCUUUCCCGAGGAUAUCUUCGACUAUGGACCUGUUCAAUACGUCCAUCAGGACGACGAAGACGGCCGUGAACAUAAUAUUAUCGUCGUUGAAUCGCAAGAAUGAUUUGAGCAAAAGGAGGCGCUGCCAAUUAGAUAAGUAUUUUUUGCGUUUUUUCAAUUUAAUUUGCAAUGUUUAUAACAAAUAGCUCAAGUGAGAAAGAAAAAACACGCUUGCACCUCUCUUUCCUUUACAUACAUUCUCCUCCUCCUCCUGCUCCUCCGUUUCUCUCUCUGCCUCUUAUGAGAAAUAAACUAUUUUUGGAAAACUACGAUUAAGCACCUUAUCACUUCUAAAAAAUCUCACUAUCGGAAAAGUUUUUCUCUAUAUAUCAACAAAAAAAUAAAGUUGUUACAAGUUUCUUUCAAGAGUUUGGCAAAAUAUUGUGUGUAGAUAGUGAGAAUUCUAGCAGAACAUAGUAAUAGAGCCGAAGCCGAAGUGUAAACAAAGAGUCUAACCUGCUCUUUCCUAAUGUAAACGUCAACUGACGUGAGCAGGAUUGACUCUUUGUUUACACGUCGGUUUCGGUACUAUUAUAAUGUUUUGCUUGAAUUGUCUAAUUAGUUGGAAUUGAAAAGAAAAUAAACCAUAAUAGACACAUUCCCCCCACAUUUUACUGCGACAGUGCGACAUCUUCAAAUUGCGUUUUGAGAAUUGAUACUUUGUGAUUUUUUUCUAUCUUUUUUCACAGGACUGAAUAUUGUUAUCAAAUCUGGGAUGACAUGUUGGAGAUGAACCUUAUAACGGUAACGUUUUGGAAUUUCUGAGUUUUUUUUAAAAGUCCUAUAAACAAACCUAUGAAAUACAAUAGCUUGAAGGACCUUUAAAAACUCUAGAUUUGUAACAUCGCACAUCGCAUAUUUAACAGUUUUCUUUUUUUUAGAUGGAUCAGCUACAAAUAGGAAUUUUAAUGCAGUACCUAACCUGUUGGAUGGAUAUGUGGCAAAUGGGCAGUAUUCAUGAUUGCUGAGAGUCGCAGGACUCUCGCCCUUUGCUAUUAGUAAGUAUCCAGCAAAGCAAAGUGUAUAGCAUGCAUUUGAUACUGUCAACUCCCAUUCGGCUGUGUUCUCGUCGCUGUCAUGUUGUAAACUGGAGCCGAGGGGGGUCCUGUUGUGAAUUCUAGUUGGAGGUGGUCCGAAGAUCAUUGAAGAAGGUAGAAUUCGCCAUCACCCAAGACACGAAGGCACGAAGGAUAGACCAUGUCUUGGGGGGUGAAAGGAUGAUAGGAUUUAGUGAUAAUACCACAAUUUUAAUAUUUGUCUUUCUCUCUUAUUUCAGACAAAAUGUCUGGUCCGAAUCCAAGGUGUUGCAGAAAUCUUCCACUAUACAGAAGGGGUCUUCCUUCUAUCAUUUCCUGUAUUUUGAAAAAAGGUGGUGCCCCGAAUGUGGACAUAUAGCUUAUCACAUUUACUCCAUACGGUGUGAACGUGACAUGCUGUAUGUUUGCAAUUGGUGCAUUGGCUAUUUUCAAAACAAGAUAGAUGUUUACUAUUCUUUUAAGAUACAAUUUAGUAAAAUCUAAAAUCUAUCCAUCUAUUUAUUUUGCUAUUGCUAUAACUUGUCCCUUACCUCACAAACUUUAACUACUCUAUUCUUCAAACUUGGAAUCGCAAUACAUUAUUGUAGAAAUGUAACUGCUGAAAAAAAUUGGUAAGAAAUUUGGGCAUAACUGUUAUUAAUAUGAUUAAAGGUACGUUCAAUCUGUUUUAUUAUAUAUAUUAACUAUUCUAGUUUGCUUGUCUUGUCCCAUAUUUCACAACUUCAGUUGUUUUCUUGUAAACUUCUCGUUACAAGUUGGUAUUUCUGUCUAGUUGCAAAAUAAGGUUUCUUUAUUCUUUCUUUCUGUGUUAGUCUGUUCCAAUGUUCGAUUUUAUUUUACAUUGUACUUAUCCCAUUUUUUCUCUUUUUCUCUUUCAUGUACCUUGCGAGCAUACGAUGACCGAAAAAGUCAUUGUAUCAGCCAACACACGUGUAUUUUUCACAAAGCCGCGAAACAGAACAAGUAUUUUUAUAAGUGCGUGAAUAACAAUCGGUCGUUGAAGCUCAAAAAAUGUGAGAACAAUAUCGCGCCGUGGUUCAGUGAUAAUAAGGCGAAGAAAUUAGACGAAGAUUCCGCAUGAAGAAUAUAG
Long non-coding RNA from Culex pipiens pallens (northern house mosquito), 2324 nucleotides. RefSeq lists it as uncharacterized. Lineage: Eukaryota; Metazoa; Arthropoda; Insecta; Diptera; Culicidae. The transcript is spliced from 2 exons. The record is from RefSeq and is a predicted model, not a curated record.